This 256-nucleotide long non-coding RNA is filed under the name Hordeum vulgare. RNAcentral's name for it is "long non-coding RNA (HVUL_LNC008159)". Lineage: Eukaryota; Viridiplantae; Streptophyta; Magnoliopsida; Poales; Poaceae. The record is from RNAcentral.
GAUAAUACUGCUAUCAUUCAUUUAGACUCGUGCCCUGAACAAAAUAAGAGUAACAUUUUUCUAAGGUAUCACUAGAGAGAGAUCACCACACAAUUCUUGUCAAGUGAUAGCUUCAUAAGAAGGAUUAUUUGACAAUAAUAAUAAUACUAUGUGUCUAGUUGAUAGGUUGCAUGUCAAUAGGUAAAGUGUAGAGUAGAUGAGUCAGUAUAUGUUACCUGAUGCUGCUUGUCCGAGGGCAGAGGGAGUGUUUGGCAUU